UACAGAGGUCCCAAGCGUUGUUCGGAUUCACUGGGCGUAAAGGGUGCGUAGGCGGGUCUUUAAGUCAGGGGUGAAAUCCUGGAGCUCAACUCCAGAACUGCCUUUGAUACUGAAGAUCUUGAGUUCGGGAGAGGUGAGUGGAACUGCGAGUGUAGAGGUGAAAUUCGUAGAUAUUCGGAAGAACACCAGUGGCGAAGGCGGCUCACUGGCCCGGUACUGACGCUGAGGUGCGAAAGCGUGGGGAGCAAACAGG
RNAcentral lists this ribosomal RNA (253 nucleotides) under uncultured bacterium. RNAcentral's name for it is "partial 16S ribosomal RNA". It matches the Rfam family "Bacterial small subunit ribosomal RNA", at positions 524 to 776 of the family's 1533-position model. The record is from RNAcentral.